This 1093-nucleotide long non-coding RNA is filed under the name Zea mays. Its description in RNAcentral is "long non-coding RNA (ZMAY_LNC000923)". The record is from RNAcentral. Lineage: Eukaryota; Viridiplantae; Streptophyta; Magnoliopsida; Poales; Poaceae.
UAUUUGGAACUCAACAUGAUGUAACAUUUCAUGACUCACCUGUUUUGUCAAAAAUAAAAUAGAUAAUCCCUCAUAAUUAAGCUAACCCUAACCAAAAGAGAAAGAGAGAGAGAAACUAGAGAGAGAUAGAAACUAGAGUGAGAGAGAGAGAGAAGAGUAACACCUGAAUUUGGAUGAUAAUAAGAAAGAAAUUGUAUACUCCAAAUUCAGGGUGUUACACACUUCAACAAACAGAUCAUGCUUUAAAUGCAGGUAGGUCAGACAUUAUGCCAACAACUGUCCUAACAAGGCUGCUUACACUACUCUAGCUCCGAUGAGGCAAAGUCAUGCCUUAGUAGGUAAAAGCCAAGCCUUAUCCAUCAACCGGGGACAAUAAAACUCCGUGCAUGGACAAGUUAACCAUGUGGAGGUAGAAAAUGAACCCGAAGAACCCGAAGACCUGGAAGAGGUGCCAGGAGAAGAUGAGAAAGUCGAUGAAGAAGAUAAUGAGCAGCAAAAUUAGAGUCUUCUAUCUUUGUACCAAUCUCGAGGUCGAGAUUUUCUUUAAGGGGGUAGGAUUUCUAGACACUAAAUAUGACAUUAAGGAAUUUAGCUAUUUUUUUUCAAGGAAUAAUAUUAUAACUCAUUUGAAUAUGUGUUCUAUAAUCGACACUUGUUACUUCUUACAAAAAGAACUAUAGUUGCAUUCAUGCUGAGAUAUUGAUUGCUACAUUUGUAUUUGAGAAUCUAUAUUAGAAAGUGUUUUUCUUAAGAUAGUACAUUUUGCAUAUAGGAAUUCCAUAUUGAAGAGCAAUUGUUUAAUAAAUAAAACAAGGCAAUAAACCAAUAGAUAAAACUAAAUUAGACAUGCAUGCUGGAAUUUUUGGUUGUGCAUUUAUGAUUAAAGUUGAAACCUAGACCUGAAUACAAAUUUGAAAAUAGAAUGAAAAAUAGGAAAUAGGAAUAAAGAAGAAAAGGGGCUAGACCUACUCGCGGGCCAAUUCUCUGUUGCCCCAUUUCCUUUUUCCCCAUCAGCCUAAUACCUCGAACUGGCCAGCUUCAGAAACGCGUCCGUCCCUGGCUCAUCUUCGCGCUAACGUGUGGGCCACAACCG